GACGAACGCUGGCGGCGUGCUUAACACAUGCAAGUCGAACGGAAAGGCCCUGCUCUUGUGGGGUGCUCGAGUGGCGAAGGGGUGAGUAACACGUGAGUAACCUGCCCUUGACUUUGGGAUAGCUUCAGGAAACUGGGGCUCAUAUCGGAUAGGAGCUCCUGCUGCAUGGUGGGGGUUGGUUAGUUUCGGCGGUUGGGGAUGGACUCGCGGCUUAUCAGCUUGUUGGUGGGGUAGUGGCUUACCAAGGCUUUGACGGGUAGCCGGCCUGAGAGGGUGACCGGCCACAUUGGGACUGAGAUACGGACCAGACGCCUACGGGAGGCAGCAGUGGGGAAUAUUGCACAAUGGGCGGAAGCCUGAUGCAGCAACGCCGCGUGCGUGAUGACGUCCUUCGGGUUGUAAACCGCUUUCGCCUGUGACGAAGCGUGAGUGACGGUAAUGGGUAAAGAAGCACCGGCUAACUACGUG
RNAcentral lists this ribosomal RNA (468 nucleotides) under uncultured bacterium. RNAcentral describes it as "partial 16S ribosomal RNA". It matches the Rfam family "Bacterial small subunit ribosomal RNA", at positions 28 to 507 of the family's 1533-position model. The record is from RNAcentral.